Molecule: non-coding RNA, 74 nt
Organism: Parelaphostrongylus tenuis
Lineage: Eukaryota; Metazoa; Nematoda; Chromadorea; Rhabditida; Metastrongylidae
Source: the annotation of a GenBank genome assembly
GCGUCAGUAGUGUAACGGAUAGAACACGCGCUCUCGGGAAGGGUAAGGUGCGGGUUGUAGUCCCGGCUGACGCG